RNAcentral lists this ribosomal RNA (444 nucleotides) under uncultured soil bacterium. RNAcentral's name for it is "bacterial SSU rRNA". It matches the Rfam family "Bacterial small subunit ribosomal RNA", at positions 26 to 471 of the family's 1533-position model. The record is from RNAcentral.
AGAUUGAACGCUGGCGGCAUGCCUUACACAUGCAAGUCGAACGGCAGCACGGGAGCAAUCCUGGUGGCGAGUGGCGAACGGGUGAGUAAUACAUCGGAACGUGCCCAAUCGUGGGGGAUAACGCAGCGAAAGCUGUGCUAAUACCGCAUAAGAUCUACGGAUGAAAGCAGGGGAUCGCAAGACCUUGCGCGAAUGGAGCGGCCGAUGGCAGAUUAGGUAGUUGGUGAGGUAAAGGCUCACCAAGCCUUCGAUCUGUAGCUGGUCUGAGAGGACGACCAGCCACACUGGGACUGAGACACGGCCCAGACUCCUACGGGAGGCAGCAGUGGGGAAUUUUGGACAAGUGGGCGAAAGCCUGAUCCAGCCAUGCCGCGUGCAGGAGUGAAGGCCGUUCGGUUGUAACGUGUCUUUGUACGGUAACGAAAGUUCUCUUUACUAAAUAAG